UGACACCCUCCUGCACACUCUGCACCAGUCCCCCACGCAGCACGGCCCUGCCUUUGGUGCACAGAAACAGAAGAGGGCAGAGAUCAUUAUGUAGCAACCCCGCUCAGCCCUACUGUGUUCUCAGUAUUCCUAAUCACAAACUUAGGCAUGUGGACAGUCUUUAGGGAAGAGGUCAGUGCUAAGAAAAAGGGUUCCCAAGAAGAAUCGAGGAGCUGAAAGCAGGGCUGAGAUCAAGUCCUCCAGGACUCUGGCCCAGCAGGCCAAUCACAGGGGAUGGGGGAGGGAUGCUCCAAGCCAUCCCAUCACCCCAGAAAGCAUCUGAUUCUGCUUUUGUUCAUGCCACAAUCCUUUUGUAGAUCUACUGAAAUCUGACCAUUGGGUCAAGUGGUGAAGAUCUAAAACAAACACAAGGUGGGCUCCCAGAAGCUCCCGGCCUAGGAGGGCAAGACAGCUGCACAAGUUACCAUCAAUAAAGGCAGUGAGGGGAAGAAGUGCAAAGCCUAUAUGACCUUGGGAGAAGAGGUGGUGAACUCUUCUUGUAGAGGGAAGAACAGCAGAAGAGGGGAGAAAAGAUAAAGCACAGAGCAGGUGGCAUCUGAGCUGGGCCUGAGGGGUGAAUGGGAGAAAGUGCAUCUGGACAAGGAGAAUAUACAAAAUCUUUAACAACUGCUAGGGUCCCAGCCUGGCCCAAUCGGAACGGUUAGUUGCUGGCCCUUUAUCAGGUAAAUAUGGCCAGUCAUGUGCAUCUACUUCCACUUCCUCCCCGAACCUUGGCAGAAUAACUUUUACUUUAAAAAUUAAGCAUAAAUACACAGGGGUGGGGAAAACCAGAGAAGAGAUAAGAGUAACAGAAUUUUGGAAGCUAGAAAAUCAGAUGGGCAAGUAGUAAAUAGCCCCAGAAUCCCAAAAAAACUGCAUUCUAAGUCAGCAGUAGGAGAAGCUGAAACCAAUCUAAUUUAUCCUGCAAAACCCUCUUCACAGCUUGGAAAUUGGUGGUAUUCAUCCAUCUUGAAAGCAGGAGAAAAGAGUUAAGGAAGGCUGGUUGGCAAUCUGUUUAGGAAGCAGUUAAAACUCAAGUUCCUUCCUUGACUAGCAACAGCCCUGCCUUACCCAGAAGAUGGAAGGCUGUUCUUCAAAAUAAACAGAGACUUUCUGGACUGGGAGACAGCAGGCAGAACUGAGAAUGGACCUACCGUGCUGAGAACAUUGGGAUUACAGACCACUGAAUUUUGGUUACUGAGCCUCCACAUCCUCCUCCACUGGGCACUCAAUGCACCAACUCUCGAGAUGUCAGCCUCCUGGCAAGACACAGGAUGAGCCGUCUCUGAGGGCUGCAACCUAACUUCAUGGAAAAAUCUCAUGAUUUAAGAAAGACUUCAUAACAUUUAAUAUUACACAAGAAAAAAGGCUCAGCUAGAUCAUCCUCCAAUGAAGCCCAUGGUUAUCAAAUCCCACCUGCACAGUGAUUCUUAAAUAUGUGCAGAUAAACAAGAAUAACUGGACAACUGAAGAAAUCUUCAAAAUUGAACAAUAAAGAGCAAAACAAACAACUUGGAAGAAACAGAGACUAUGCAGAAUAAAAAAAAAAAAACCUUUCCUGCAAAAAAUAUAUUAAUUUUUUUCAGGAAAACAGCAUUGCAAUCAUAAAACAGGAAGCUAUAAAAAGGAACAUUCAGAAAAAAAAGAAUGUUUGUAAAUUAAAAAUAUAACAAAUGAAAUGUCAAUAGAGGGUUGGAAGGUAAAGUUAAGAAAAUCUCCCAGAAAAUGAAGCAAAAAGAUGAAGAGAUGGAAAAGAGAAAUUAAGAAAACUAAAGAAUCAGUCCAGAAGGUCUACUAUCCAAAUGAGAAUCUUAGAAAGAGGAAACAGGGCAGGUGUGGGAGGUAUAGGGGAGAGAUAAACAAGAAAAGUAAAUCAGUUACAAAAUCAAGAAAAUGUCUUGGAACUGAAGACCCAGAGUUUACAGAUUGAAGGGGCCUGCCAAGUGGGCCUUGAGUAAAAAUAUGAGCACAACUGAUAAAAAUAGAUCCACUGCAAGGCACAGAACAUCAUUAUAACAUCUCAGAAUACUGACAUAAAAAAAAAAUCAAGAACAAAAUAUGUUUUUUUGACUAUAACACUCAAUAUUAAGAUCUCAAUCCUUCCCAACUUUAUCUACAGAUUUCAUACGAUCUUAAUUAAAAUCCCCAAAAGCUCUUUUGUAGACAUUGCCAAAUUGAUCUUAAAGCUUAUAUGGAAAAAGCAAAAGACCUAGAAUAACCAACAUGAUACAGAAGAACAAAGUUGAAGGACUCAUGCUACUUGAUUUCCAAACCUCCUAUAAGGCUAUAAUAAUCAAGACAGAAUGAUACUAGUGAAAGAAAAGAUAUAUUGGUCAAUAGAACAGAAGAGAUUGCCCAAAACAAAUGUAGUCAACUAUCCUUGAUGAAGAGCAAAUGCAACCUAAUAGAGAAUGGAUGGUCAUGUCAACAAAGGAUGCUUCAAUGUUUGGAAAUACAUAUAGACAUAUAUAUGUAGACAUAUGUAUAUAGACAUAGACUUUAUGCCUAACAUGAAAAAAAUAAAAUGGAUCAUAAACUCAGAUAAAUGUGAAACUAUAAAACUUCUUGAUGAAACAGUAGAAAAUCUUCAUGAACUUGGGUUUGCUGAUGACUUUUAAAAUAUAACAAGUAUCACAAAAACAUUGAAAAGCACAGAUAUUUGAAAGAAAAAAAUUGCUAAGUUGGCCUUUAUUCAAAUUAAAAACUUUUGAUGUAUGAAAGACAAGUCUCAACUGGGAGUAAAUAUUUGCAAAACACAUAUCUGAGGAAGGACUUAUAUCCAAAAUAUACAGAAAACUCUUAAAAUACAAUAAUAAGAGAACAAACAAGCUGAUUAAGAAACGGGCAAAAGAUCUGAACAGACAUCUCACCAAGGAAGGUAUACACAUGGCAAAUAAGUGUAUGAAAAGAUGCCCAACAUCAUUUGUCAUUGGAAGUUGCAAAUUUAAACAAUGAAAUAAUAUCACCCACCUAUCAGAAUAGCUAAAACCAAAAACUGACAAUAACCACUGCCAAGGAUGUGGAACAACAAGAAACUCUUAAUCAUUGCCAGAGAAUACAGAAUGGAAUAGCCAUUUUGGAAGACAUUUUGGCAAUCUGUUUAUAAAACUAAACAUAAUCUUACAAUACAAUCAAAUCAUCACGUUCAGGGGAUCCCUGGGUUGGCUCAGUGGUUUAGCGCCUGCCUUCGGCCCUGGGCAUGAUCCUGGAGCCCCAGGAUCGAGUCCCAUAUCAAGCUCCCUGCAUGGAGCCUGCUUCUCCCUUUGCCUGUGUCUCUGCUUCUCUCUCCCUCUGUGUCUCUCAUGAAUAAAUAAAUAAAAUAUUUUAAAAAACCACAAAUCAUCACGUUCCUAGGUGUAUACCCAACUGAUUUGGAAGUUUUGCCCACAUAAAAACCUGUACAUGAAUGUUUACUCAGCUUUAUUUGCAAUUGCCAAAGGCUGGAAGCAACCAACAUGUCUUUCAAUAGGCAAAUGGAAAAACAAUCUGUACCACAUCCAUAGAAUGGAGAUAUUAUACAACAACAAUUAGAAAGGAAGUACCAAGCCACAAGAAGAUAUGGAUGAAUCUUAAGUGCAUAUUGUUAAAUGAAAGAAGCCAAUUUUAAAAAGCUACGUACUGUAUAAUUCCGAUUAUAUGAAAUUCUGGAAAAAGCAAAAUUAUAGGAAUAGUAAACAGCGAUUACCAAGGGUUCGGGGGAAAGAGAGGGGAACAGGUGGAGGGUAUAUUUAGGAUGCUGAAACCAUUCUGUAUGAUACUUUAAUGAUAAAUACAAGACAUUAAGCAUUUGUCGAAACCUACAGAACUUUACAAGCAUGACAAGUAAAAUUUAAGGUAUAAAAAUCAUUUUUUUCAUCAUUUAGGAGAUGGAGCUAUCCAAAGAUGGAAUGAUGGAAUGCAGAAUGUGACAAUAGAAUCUAAAUGUAUUAUUUAUAUAUAGUUCACUAAAGGGGAUGAGGAAUAAGGUGCUAACCUAAGCAGCUUUGGAAAUAAGUAAGAGUACAUGAGACUAAAGGCAAAAGAAACUAUACAUAAGCACUGUACUCUAGCUAAUAUAGUUGUUUCCCACAAGAGUAUAGGUUAGUAAUUCUGACAUUAUUACACAGGUAUCCUGUAUCUGAGUACUAAUAAAUGGAAGCAAAGUUUCUCACUGUUGGAACGCCAAGUUACAAAUAAGCAAAGGCUAGACUGAUCCAUGUGGUAAUUAGAGAUAUCAGUAUGAACUCAUGGUUACCUUAAUAUAGAAAUAUUUACAGAUAUGUAUAUAAUCUUGGGUUAGUAUACAGAAUAUAUAUUCUUACUCUGACAUUUGAGAAGGCCUGUCAACAAUGAUACUCCAGUAGCAAUGAGCAA
Molecule: long non-coding RNA, 4392 nt
Filed under: Canis lupus familiaris (dog)
Lineage: Eukaryota; Metazoa; Chordata; Mammalia; Carnivora; Canidae
Description: lncRNA (ENSCAFG00000055433.1, ENSCAFG00805010529.1, ENSCAFG00845017563.1)
Source: RNAcentral